Molecule: ribosomal RNA, 696 nt
Filed under: Arthrobacter sp. 52ND5
Lineage: Bacteria; Bacillati; Actinomycetota; Actinomycetes; Micrococcales; Micrococcaceae
Description: bacterial SSU rRNA
Rfam family: Bacterial small subunit ribosomal RNA
Source: RNAcentral
CAUGGCGAACGGGUGAGUAACACGUGAGUAACCUGCCCUUAACUCUGGGAUAAGCCUGGGAAACUGGGUCUAAUACCGGAUAUGACUCCUCAUCGCAUGGUGGGGGGUGGAAAGCUUUUGUGGUUUUGGAUGGACUCGCGGCCUAUCAGCUUGUUGGUGAGGUAAUGGCUCACCAAGGCGACGACGGGUAGCCGGCCUGAGAGGGUGACCGGCCACACUGGGACUGAGACACGGCCCAGACUCCUACGGGAGGCAGCAGUGGGGAAUAUUGCACAAUGGGCGGAAGCCUGAUGCAGCGACGCCGCGUGAGGGAUGACGGCCUUCGGGUUGUAAACCUCUUUCAGUAGGGAAGAAGCGAAAGUGACGGUACCUGCAGAAGAAGCGCCGGCUAACUACGUGCCAGCAGCCGCGGUAAUACGUAGGGCGCAAGCGUUAUCCGGAAUUAUUGGGCGUAAAGAGCUCGUAGGCGGUUUGUCGCGUCUGCCGUGAAAGUCCGGGGCUCAACUCCGGAUCUGCGGUGGGUACGGGCAGACUAGAGUGAUGUAGGGGAGACUGGAAUUCCUGGUGUAGCGGUGAAAUGCGCAUAUAUCAGGAGGAACACCGAUGGCGAAGGCAGGUCUCUGGGCAUUAACUGACGCUGAGGAGCGAAAGCAUGGGGAGCGAACAGGAUUAGAUACCCUGGUAGUCCAUGCCGUA